RNAcentral lists this non-coding RNA (106 nucleotides) under chicken gut metagenome. Its description in RNAcentral is "SAM riboswitch (S box leader)". It matches the Rfam family "SAM riboswitch aptamer (S box leader)". From Rfam's summary of the family: The SAM riboswitch is found upstream of a number of genes which code for proteins involved in methionine or cysteine biosynthesis in Gram-positive bacteria. The record is from RNAcentral.
CUUAUCAAGAGUGGUGGAGGUACAGGACCUGUGAAGCCACGGCAACCCUCCGGUCAAACGGAAACGGUGCCAAUUCCUACGACGUUUAUGCGGUCGAGAGAUGAGG